CAGCCGCCGCGGUAAAACGGAGGGGGCUAGCGUUGUUCGGAAUUACUGGGCGUAAAGCGCACGUAGGCGGCUUGGUAAGUUAGAGGUGAAAGCCUGGAGCUCAACUCCAGAAUUGCCUUUAAGACUGCCGAGCUAGCAGGUGAGAGAGGUAAGUGGAAUUCCGAGUGUAGAGGUGAAAUUCGUAGAUAUUCGGAAGAACACCAGUGGCGAAGGCGGCUUACUGGCUCAUACUGGACGCUGAGGUGCGAAAGCGUGGGGAGCAAACAGGAUUAGAUACCCGCGUAGUCCCUGUCUCUUAUAC
This 301-nucleotide ribosomal RNA is filed under the name uncultured bacterium. Its description in RNAcentral is "partial 16S ribosomal RNA". It matches the Rfam family "Bacterial small subunit ribosomal RNA", at positions 509 to 807 of the family's 1533-position model. The record is from RNAcentral.